This 8621-nucleotide long non-coding RNA is filed under the name Lactuca sativa (garden lettuce). RNAcentral describes it as "long non-coding RNA (LSAT_LNC002037)". The record is from RNAcentral. Lineage: Eukaryota; Viridiplantae; Streptophyta; Magnoliopsida; Asterales; Asteraceae.
UCCUAUCCUACAACGGUUGGACUCAGAAAAAAGCUACAAAAUAGGGAUAGACCUAACCUUCUGAAAUUAUUUAUUCCCCGUAAUAUGUAACUUAACGUAUUCAUUUUGUAGCACCUGGUUUCCGGUAUGUGAAUUUUAUUUGAGCAUUGCCCUAAUUUAGCCUUGGACUCGGCGAGUCAUAGGGUCCGACUCGCCGAGUAGGGACGAGACUCAGGACGCGUUAUAAGUAGGCGACUCGACGAGUCCAUAUCCUGGACUCGGCGAGUCACCGCUGCGGGAUGAAACCCUAAGUUUCAAGGGUUUGCACCCUAUUUAAACUCUCUUUCUGUCCCAACUCGUCCCCAUUCACCCCCAGAACUCCCUCUACAUCGUUUUCCCUUGUUUCCUUGAGAGUUUGAAGUAUUCUUGGUGUGUUCUUGAAGGUUUUGAAGAGUAAGAGGAGUAGAUCAAGAAGAGGAGAAGGAGAUCAGCCAUCCUUGUGUCAUUUCAACAUUUCCUUUGAGGUAUAACCCGUUUUCCCCUUGAUUCUAUGCUUAAAACUUCAUUUGGGUCCUUCUUGGUCAAUUCCCCAAGUUUGCAUGUUCAUUAUAUGUUGUAAUAAGACGUUUGGCCUUUGGAUCUAUGUAAGAUUGAGCUCCAGGAGCUCAGAUCUGUUAGCUUUUUGGCCUCAUAAGACUUGUUAGCCCUAGAUCUACCAUUUUGAGACAUUUUGAGCCUUAUAAUCCAUAUUGGUGAAUAUCCACACGUAAAGUUGGAAACUUUACGUGUGAUUCGUGUCCUAGAAGUCCAGAUCUAUGAAUGGCAUGGUCUGGAACCGAGCAAAUCGGUAUAUUUAAGGAGUGCAUGGCGACGACUCGGCGAGUCGCAUAGGUGACUCGGCGAGUCUGGUCGCGAGUCACCGAAUUGGUCCCUUCUUCAUGUGUCGAGUUGAGCCUUGAGUCACAGGGGGUGACUCGGUGAGUUGGGAGCUGAACUCACCCAUGUUAGGACUCGGCGAGUCAAUGCCCUGACUCGGCGAGUCCAAGGCAAUCUUCAUAGCUCAAGAACAGACUCGGCGAGUUGUUCAUACAACUCGGCGAGUCUUAGCAUAAAGUGUUCAUCGGAUGAAGAUGAACUCGACGAGUUGUUCAUACAACUCGGCGAGUAGGAUGAAGGUGUUGAAUGGCAGUUAGAAGGUGAACUCGUCGAGUCAUAGCCCGACUCGACGAGUAGAACCAGGGACCCAGGACAUUGGUUUGCUAGGGACUCGGCGAGUGGUGAUCCACUCGGCGAGUCGGGUCAACUGAAAGUUGACUCCAGCUUUGGCUUAGAGUUAAUCCAGGGGUAAAAUGGUCAUUUUACCUAAAGGACAGUUAGCAGUGUUUGAUUGAGUAUGUCGUGGAAAUUGCAGCCGGAGGACUCCCGGAGCAGCAGCAGUCAGUUAGUUCCCGAUCAGUUCAGCAGCUACUUUGAGGUGAGUUACCUUCCAGUAGCGGUGGGUCUAAGGCCACAAUGCCGACCCACCAGUAGGAGUUGUAUGAUAGAUGAUUGUCUUUGUGAUAUCAUCUAAGUUCGCUAGUACCUGACAUGUUAUAUGCUAGCAUGAUAUGCUGUAUGUGAUAGUAGUAGAGUUUGGUUGUUCGGACCGAAGGGUAGUCAGACACCCCAGAUACGUCUGACAGUAUGUGACGAUAUGUAUGCAUGCUGGCUUGUUAUGUUAUAUGUGAUCGUAGUAGUAGGGGUGAAAUAGUCCCCGAGGAUCGGUUGUUAGGACCGAUGGGUAGUCAGCACCCCAGAAUGGCUUGACACGGGUAAGACGGCACCCCAGAAUGGCCGUAUGGGUAGGUCGGCACCCCAGAAUGGCCGUACCGGGUAGUCAGGCACCCCAGAAUAGCCUGGCAGUAUAUAUGUUAUGUGUUUGUAUGGUAUGCGGUACGUUGGGGGAACUCACUAAGCUUUGUGCUUACGUUUACAGUUUUGUUUUCAGGUACCUCUGCAUCGAAGGGGAAGGAGCCGGCGCGGUAGCGGCACGUCAUACACACACUCUUCGGUUUCCGCAUUUAUGAGAUUUACUGGGAUUGUACUCUGAUAUUUGAUGGGAUGUACGGUUUGGCUUUUGAGAACAUGGUUGCAAUGUGUUAUGGUGUGAACAAACAAUGUUUCUUUUUAUUUAGACAAUGUUUUUAUUUAUUAAUGUUUUCUAAAGUAAUAUCAAAAAAAAAAAAAAAUUGGGUCGUUACAAGUUGGUAUCAGAGCCCUGGUUUGAGGGAUUCGGACACGCCUUCGGGAGUGUUUGGACUCAAACCGAGGGAUUGAAAGAUUUUUCCAAAAGAAAUUAUUCUUUAAAACCCGGAAAAGAGUCACGAGAAAGAGUAAAGUGUGUGACGUGCGCGACCGGCCGAGCUCAAGUAAGUAUUCCCCAUAGUACCCAUACAAGUUUAUGUUAUGUUUAUCAGCUUUAUGAAUAUUGCAUGUUAGAAUAGGCUGAGGAUCUAAGAGUGAUGCCUUAUGUGCCUGUUUAAUUGUUACAGCUUAUUGAAUAUUGCAUGCUAGAAUUGAGUAGACAGCAGUAGGGUAGCCUGUUUAGGUUAUGCCUGAUAGUAUGAGCUUAGCAUCCUAUGUUAAGUGUCGUUUCUUGUUCUAAGAACAGUUUUGGCUUGAGUCUGUUUUUCCUUAUCCGAAUGCUGCUUGCUUCGUGCUCGGUGGGAUUCUGAGUAAUGGGAGUGAGCCACUAGGUAAACACGUCACACCACAUGUAAUCAGGGUUGAAUAAUCCCAAAGUGUUGGAACUGGCCCUAUUGCGCAGCUCUUGUUUGAGUCCAACCGUUGUAGGGACGGAUCUUUUACUUGAAGGAUUAUCUAAUCCUCAUUACAUGUGAUGGUGUUUAGGUGGUGGCUAACUGGCAUUAUGAGGAGACCUACAGCAGCUGAGGACCAGUUGUGUUGAACUUGAGUUCUCCCUAGGGCAAGCCUAGGGUGAGAAUAUCGGAGAGUAGCAGUAGUAGAGGGGAGUUGGUGGAGUCGAGGAAUUCCUCGGAGAAGGUACGGAUAGAUGUGGAAGGUAGUAUGGGCCCGUACUACUGAAAGCAGAGGAUCCGUACCCGAGCCGAGGAAGGCCAAGACGAGACCAAGGAACCUGUAAGUAGUUGAGAUCCCUCAGAAAGUAGCAGUACCACUAAUGAUUAUUAUUGAUGUUUUGCAGAAUGGUGGUACUUCGACCGAGACCGACAGAUGGCGGGUCAGGAGAGGGGUCAGGUUCGGGAUCUGGCACCGAGCCGAUUGAGGAGAGGCUACGUGAGUUCAUCACGUCGGAGAUCACUAGGGGCAUCCUUGAGUCGACCCCCAUCAUCUUUGGGUCGAUCAAGGAAGGGAUCGUGGAGAUGAUGGAGGAUCGCCUACGGGCAUUCAGGAGCGACUUGGCCUCUAGCCAGUCAGGAUCUCGCACACUGUCCUUCAAGGACUUCAGGAGCAGUGGUGCGCCGGAUUUCCAUGGGGUGAAGGACCCCAUUGUCGCCAGGCGGUGGAUUGCGGAUAUCGAGUCCGCCCAGUUGAUCAGCUUCUGCCCCGAGGGGUCGAAGGUGAGGUACGCAGCAGGGUGUUUACGGGACCGGGCCCGAGAUUGGUGGGAGUCAGUGGGUGACUCGAUGGGAGCCUCGGCUGUCGAGGCAAUGACCUGGUCGGACUUUGUGACUAGGUUCAGGGCAGAGUUUGCGCCAGCGGUCGAGCUUCAGCAGCUGGCCAGGGAGUUCUUAGACAUGAGGCAGACGACAGAGACCGUGGCGGAGAUCACCGCCAAGUUUCGGGAGAGGGCUUUAUUGGUGCCCCAGUAUGCAGGUGACGAGGAUAUGAGGAGGACUCGUUACCACGACAUGCUACGAGCUGACAUUCGGGAGCAUGUUAGCUUUUCGGCUUGCCCUACCCUGGACUCCAUGAUUGCCAGGGCUAGGGAGAGAGAGAUAGAUUUGGAGCACAUCCGGAAACGGAAACUUGAGGAUGGUCAGUCAUCGGGGGCUUCGGGGAAGAAGCCCAAGGGAUCAGAUGGGAGGCCGAAAGGCCAGUCGGGACCGAGCCGCUGCAGGAGGUGCGGCAGGCCGCACGAGGGGGCGUGCAGGAUGGGAUCGUCAGGCUGCUACAAGUGCGGCAAGUUUGGGCAUAUCAGCAGGGAUUGCACUGCUCCUGCGACCGUUAUUCAGACAUCGGAGUUGCUGUGUUUCCACUGCAACCAGAGGGGCCACAAGAAGGCCAAUUGCCCCAUGUUGACAGCUUCAGCGCCAGUGAAGGCGCCAGCUCCAGCGACCCUGCGGAUCACGGAUGGCCGUCAGGGCAAGGCAGAGGCUCCAGUGGUGAGGAGUCGGGCAUUUCAGUUGACUGCCGAGGAGGCACGCGCCGCGCCCGAUGUGGUGACGGGUAUGAUUCCUUCCUUCUAUCUUUUAUUUUACGUUGUUAUGAUAUUGAUAUGUGCUCCGUGUGUAUACAUGUGUAUUAGGAUCGUUCCAUGUGAACGGCAUCCCGGUUCAGGUAUUGUUCGACUCGGGUGCAUCCCGAUCGUUCGUUUCUCUUGCUCUUAGCAAGAGAUUUCAUGAGACUUCAGGCGAGUUAGAUUGCCCGUUAGAGGUAGAGAUUGCCGAUGAUCGAUCGGUGCGAGCAUCGAUGGUGUUUCGAGAUUGUGUCCUGCGACUGUUUGAGGAGUGUUACCUGGUAGACUUGGUUCCCAUUCCAUUGCGUGGGAACAAGGUGAUUAUUGGUAUGGAUUGGUUGAGCCCUAAUGGGGCAGUGAUAGAUUGCGCACAGCAGCUAGUGCGAGUCAAGACCCCAAGCGGGGGAGAGUUAGUGAUUCAUGGAGAGCGGCCGCAGUGUGGACCCACUGUAUGUUCAGCAGCGAGGGCUAGGCGCUACCUUCAGCAGGGAUGCGCGGGUUAUGUCGCGUACGUGAUGGACACCCGGGAGGCGGGUAAGGCGACCGUGAGCGAGGUCCCGGUGGUUCGAGAUUUUGCUGAUGUUUUUCCGGAGGAACUACCUGGGAUACCUCCGGAGCGACAGGUGGAGUUCAGGAUUGACCUCGUUCCCGGUGCGGCUCCGAUAGCCAAAGCACCGUAUCGGUUGGCUCCUCCCGAGAUGCAGGAGUUGUCUACGCAGCUGCAGGAGCUGCUGGACAAGGGAUUUAUUCGGCCGAGCAGUUCGCCCUGGGGAGCCCCGAUUCUGUUUGUGAAGAAGAAGGAUGGGUCGCAUCGGAUGUGUAUAGAUUAUCGGGAGCUGAACAAGGUAACGGUGAAGAACCGUUACCCGCUUCCGAGGAUUGAUGACCUCUUUGACCAGCUUCAGGGCGCAUCUUGGUUCUCCAAGAUUGAUUUGCGUUCGGGUUAUCAUCAGAUGAGGGUCAGGGAGGAGGAUAUGCAGAAGACCGCGUUUCGGACGCGCUAUGGCCAUUACGAGUUUGUGGUGAUGCCGUUUGGGCUCACCAAUGCUCCUGCCGCGUUCAUGGACCUCAUGAACCGUGUAUGCAGACCGAUGCUGGACCGGUCUGUGAUAGUCUUUAUCGAUGAUAUCUUGGUUUAUUCCAAGACCCGGGAGGAACAUGAGGAGCAUUUGAGAGAGGUGUUAGAGACCCUGAGGAGGGAGAGCUUGUAUGCCAAGUUCUCCAAGUGUGAGUUUUGGUUGCGCGAGGUGCAAUUUCUGGGGCACCUCGUCAACCAGAACGGGAUUCUGGUCGAUCCGGCCAAGGUCGAGGCCGUGAUGAGAUGGGAGGUUCCGAAGUCCCCAUCUGAGAUUCGGAGCUUCCUAGGAUUGGCAGGCUACUAUCGGAGAUUUAUCCAGGAUUUCUCCAAGAUAGCCGUGCCCCUGACGCGGCUGACGAAGAAAGCCGUGGUCUUUCGGUGGGGACCCGAGCAGCAGGCUGCAUUUGAGACGCUGAGACAGAGAUUGUGUGAGGCGCCGAUCUUAGCCCUGCCAGAGGGCGUAGAGGAUUUCGUGGUUUAUUGCGAUGCGUCCAUUUCUGGGUUGGGCGCGGUGCUGAUGCAAAGGGGGCAUGUCAUUGCUUACGCUUCGAGGCAGCUCAAGCCUCACGAGGCGAACUACCCGACGCACGAUUUGGAGUUGGGGGCGGUGGUAUUUGCCCUCAAGAUUUGGCGACAUUACCUCUAUGGGGUUCGGUGUACCAUCUACACGGACCACAAGAGCUUGAGGUACCUCAUGGACCAGCCGAAUCUGAACAUGAGGCAGCGUCGGUGGUUGGAUGUGGUGAAGGAUUAUGAUUGCGAGAUCCUUUACCACCCGGGAAAGGCCAAUGUGGUGGCCGAUGCGCUUAGCCGCAAGACGGCGCCGAUCAGGGACGCCUGUUUGAGGAUGACUGUGGUGACUCCCCUGUUGGAGCAGAUUCGGGAAGCUCAACAGGAGGCUAUCAAGGAGGAGCAUCGGAAGAACGAGCGCGUAGUAGGUCAGGUUUCCUCCUUCGAUUAUGAUAGCCGAGGGUUAUUGACACUACACCAUAGGGUGUGGGUGCCGUAUCACGGGGGCGUGCGCCAGAUUUUGAUGGAGGAGGCGCACAAGUCCCGAUUCUCUAUUCAUCCCGGGGCGACGAAGAUGUAUAGGGAUCUUCGUCUAGACUAUUGGUGGCCCUGCAUGAAGCGGGAUGUGGCAUGGUACGUCGAGCGGUGCUUGACCUGCAGGAAGGUCAAGGCCGAACAUCAGAGGCCGCAUGGCAAGAUGCAGCCGUUGGACAUUCCACUGUGGAAGUGGGAAGAUAUCACGAUGGAUUUUAUCACGAAGCUUCCCAGGACCGCGCGUGGAGUGGAUUCGAUUUGGGUCAUCGUGGAUAGAUUGACCAAGAGUGCUCACUUUAUUCCGAUUCCGGAGAGCAUAUCGGCCGAGAAAUUGGCCGACAUCUAUAUCAGGGAGAUUGUGGCACGGCAUGGGGUGCCAGUAUCGGUGAUCUCGGACAGGGAUGUGCGUUUUACUUCCAGGUUUUGGAAGAGAUUCCAUGACGAGUUGGGCACUCGUCUGCAUUUCAGCACCGCCUUUCACCCGCAGACAGAUGGACAGAGUGAGCGGACCAUCCAGACUUUGGAGGACAUGUUGCGGGCGUGUGUUCUGGAUUUCGGUGGUAGCUGGGAUACCUAUCUUCCUUUGGCUGAGUUCUCCUACAACAACAGCUAUCACGCGAGUAUCGACCGCCCUCCCUUCGAGAUGUUGUACGGACGGAGGUGUAGGACCCCGAUAUGCUGGGGUGAGGUUGGCCAGAGAGUUAUGGGAAGCACCGAAGUGGUGCUCAAGACGACUGAGAGGAUACAGCAGGUCCGGAGCAGGCUUCAGACUGCUCAGAGUCGACAGAAAAGUUAUGCCGACAAGCGUCGAUCCGAUUUAGAGUUCCAGGUCGGGGAUAUGGUCCUCCUGAAGGUGUCGCCGUGGAAAGGCGUCAUCCGAUUCAGGAAGCGGGGCAAGUUGGGCCCGCGAUUCAUCGGACCGUUCAGGGUCUUAGCCCGGGUGGGCAAGGUAGCAUAUAGGCUGGAUCUGCCAGCCGAGCUUAGCCAGAUCCACAGCACUUUCCAUGUUUCGCAGUUGCGGAAGUGCCUAGUGGACGAUUCUGCAGUAGUACCUUUGGAGGAUAUUCAGGUUGAUGACAGCCUGAACUACAUCGAGCGCCCAGUCGCAAUCCUCGACAGGAAGUCGAAGGAUUUAAGGAACAAGAGGGUGGAGCUAGUGAAGGUGCAAUGGCAGCACCGCAAGGGUUCAGAGUGGACUUGGGAGCCGGUAGACGAGAUGAUGGAGCACUACCCCGAGCUGUUUCAGGAUCAGGCAGCAGACUUCGAGGACGAAGUCUAAAAUAAGUGGGGGAGAUGUGUAGCACCUGGUUUCCGGUAUGUGAAUUUUAUUUGAGCAUUGCCCUAAUUUAGCCUUAGACUCGGCGAGUCAUAGGGUCCGACUCGCCGAGUAGGGACGAGACUCAGGACGCGUUUUAAGUAGGCGACUCGACGAGUCCAUAUCCUGGACUCGGCGAGUCACCGCUGCGGGAUGAAACCCUAAGUUUCAAGGGUUUGCACCCUAUUUAAACUCUCAUUCCGCCCCAACUCGUCCCCAUUCACCCCCAGAACUCCCCCUACAUCGUUUUCCCUUGUUUUCUUGAGAGUUUGAGGUGUUCUUGGUGUGUUCUUGAAGGUUUUGAAGAGUAAGAGGAGUAGAUCAAGAAGAGGAGAAGGAGAUCAGCCAUCCUUGUGUCAUUUCAACAUUUCCUUUGAGGUAUAACCCGUUUUCCCCUUGAUUCUAUGCUUAAAACUUCAUUUGGGUCCUUCUUGGUCAAUUCCCCAAGUUUGCAUGUUCAUUAUAUGUUGUAAUAAGGCGUUUGGCCUUUGGAUCUAUGUAAGAUUGAGCUCCAGGAGCUCAGAUCUGUUAGCUUUUUGGCCUCAUGAGGCUUGUUAGCCCUAGAUCUACCAUUUUGAGACAUUUUGAGCCUUAUAAUCCAUAUUGGUGAAUAUCCACACGUAAAGUUGGAAACUUUACGUGUGAUUCGUGUCCUAGAAGUCCAGAUCUAUGAAUGGCAUGGUCUGGAACCGAGCAAAUCGGUAUAUUUAAGGAGUGCAUGGCGACGACUCGGCGAGUCGCAUAGGUGACUCGGCGAGUCUGGUCGCGAGUCACCGAAUUGGUCCCUU